AGUUUCCACAAUAGAUACCCUCAAGAAUUGGACUCCUCUCUUGCAGCAGAAUAUUUAAUUAUUCAAAAGCAAAGGAUUGCUACAUGCCCAUCAUAUCACUUGAGGAGGGUUUGAAACGGACUCUAGAGUCAUUUUCACACUUUAACGGAGGACCAUCUAAUGCUCACAGAUUUCUUGGAGGUGGAAGGGGUACGAGCAUUCACUUUCUAUCUAUGUAGCACUCCCAAACCUAAUUACCCUGCA
RNAcentral lists this unclassified non-coding RNA (243 nucleotides) under Hevea brasiliensis (rubber tree). The record is from RNAcentral. Lineage: Eukaryota; Viridiplantae; Streptophyta; Magnoliopsida; Malpighiales; Euphorbiaceae.